GUGCUCGCUUCAGCAGCACAUUCUCCAAAACUGGAAAGACACAGAGAAGAUUAGCACGGCCCCUGUGCAAGGACGACAUGCAAAUUCGUGAAGCGCUCCACAUUUUU
Molecule: small nuclear RNA, 107 nt
Organism: Ailuropoda melanoleuca (giant panda)
Lineage: Eukaryota; Metazoa; Chordata; Mammalia; Carnivora; Ursidae
Source: Ensembl